UCAAAACGACUCUCGGCAACGGAUAUCUUGGUUCUCGCAUCGAUGAAGAACGUAGCGAAAUGCGAUACUUGGUGUGAAUUGCAGAAUCCCGUGAACCAUCGAGUCUUUGAACGCAAGUUGCGCCCGACGCCUUCGGGCUGAGGGCACGCCUGCCUGGGCGUCA
Molecule: ribosomal RNA, 163 nt
Filed under: Plantago ovata (blond plantain)
Lineage: Eukaryota; Viridiplantae; Streptophyta; Magnoliopsida; Lamiales; Plantaginaceae
Also listed under: 1 other name
Description: 5.8S ribosomal RNA
Rfam family: 5.8S ribosomal RNA
About the family: 5.8S ribosomal RNA (5.8S rRNA) is a component of the large subunit of the eukaryotic ribosome. It is transcribed by RNA polymerase I as part of the 45S precursor that also contains 18S and 28S rRNA. Functionally, it is thought that 5.8S rRNA may be involved in ribosome translocation.
Source: RNAcentral